GAGAGAGAGAGAGAGAGAAAAGAAGGGAGGGAGGGAGAUAGAGAGAGAGCACGAAAGGCACUGCAAAUCUCUAAAAUAAGAUUAGUCGGGCCUGUCAUUGAUUAUAUAUAGUGUACAGACUGUCCCACGUCAAUUCUCAUUAUCUUCUUUGCUCCACAAACCUAUUCUCUAUUUGUUUUUUCUUCCUUCGUUACACCGGAUGGUGCAAAUAAAUCUAUUCUUCUAUACCAAAUCAGAUAUGAGUCCACUCAGUUAAGUCAGCAAAAUAGAUCAGAAAUUUAUAAUUUAACCCCCAAUUCCUAGUUAAAUCAAUCUGCUAACAUGCCACUUCAUAUAUUAAAUAUAGAUCCCAUUGUCCAAUCAAAUAACCAAAAAUUGAAGAGCUCCAAGGUUGUCCUAAGCAAUAGUCAGUAUAUGGUUUUCCUGCAGUUUGACUUAGAAUCCAAAAAGUUAAGAGGGCUACAAGGGUCCUAGAUCAGAAUUCAGAACUUUAUAAUUGGACUACUUCACUUGAGAAACACUGUGGAGGGAAGUACAAGUAAGCUGGCUGUUAGCCUUUUGACAUGCUAGAGAAGCACCAAAUAAUGAAAGUGAAAGCAAGGAAGAAAGAAAUACAACCUAAAAACAAAGAUGAUCUAAAACAAGACCCUACCAAUAUUUCAACAAUUCGAUUAAACACCAUUAGAAAUAAAUAAAAAUUUAAGCACUGUACUCGAACUACCAUGCUUCCAACUGUUUCGCAUUGCACACCAACAAGUAAAACCAUAAAAUAAAAUAAAUCAACUAUGCAAAUAGGAAAAGUUGGAAUUCUGAACUUCUCUAAUCCCAUUUCAAAAAGAACACAUUAGUAUAAUUUCAUUCCUUCCCACAUCACAUAAAUUUCUAACCACCCGAAUAACUGCAAAAUUCAAUAAACAAUCCUAACACUAAAAUUAAUAAGUAAACGUACCAAUUUUUGGCCCAAAGUGGCUUGAAAUGAACCGUUAAGCAAAUCUUCCCCCCUCUAUACAUCUUCUGGGUCUUGCCGUCGAGUUGAGGUAGCUCGAUCUCCGGAGCAGUAGAUGGAUAAGUAACGGGAAUAUCGAACUGGAGAUCAAACUCGUACUUUAGCAGGUUGUGGACGUACCAGCACUUACCGGUCCAACGCGUCCCCUCGGGAUUAGCAGCGGAGAUACGGAACCAAUCGUUGUCGUUGGACUUGUUCAUCUGAGUGUAAGCGAUCAAAGCUUUGUACUCCUCCUUCAGCCUCUGUGUCCAAGUAGCUCCGUCCCUUGGUCCAGCUUUCGUUGCCAGGAGCGGGAUCUGAGUCAAUGUCGAUUUCGUGUUUGGAUCCCAUCCCUCCAUUUUUCCCCCUCCGGUUAACCCUAACCCUAAUUUUGAUUCUUAUGAUUGUUUCUCAAUUGUCG
Molecule: unclassified non-coding RNA, 1406 nt
Filed under: Hevea brasiliensis (rubber tree)
Lineage: Eukaryota; Viridiplantae; Streptophyta; Magnoliopsida; Malpighiales; Euphorbiaceae
Source: RNAcentral